UGAAAUCUGGUAAUCAUACUUUGUCUUGAUUCUUAAUAACAAUUUAAGGUUCUUUAUGCCUGAUUUUUGGUUCAGAAUGUAAGGAUAUCAUAAUAUUGGUUUGAACUGAAUUAGGCCAUCGGAAGGGUUUGUGGAAUAUGGUGGUUGGAGUUGUGUUUAUAUGUUGAAGAGUGAGGGCUGGAAUGUUUGGGUCAUGGGAAACCUGGUCAUAAGAAUGGAAGAAAUAUACACAAGCAUACUAAUAUGGUCAAGUUACAAUCCUUUCAAUCUUUAAAAUUUCUUAAAAAUAUAUAAGUCAAUUUUAAAUUGCAUUGUAAUUCGUGUCUU
Molecule: long non-coding RNA, 327 nt
Filed under: Vigna radiata
Lineage: Eukaryota; Viridiplantae; Streptophyta; Magnoliopsida; Fabales; Fabaceae
Description: long non-coding RNA (VRAD_LNC015861)
Source: RNAcentral